CCUACGUGAGUCAGCAGUGAGGAAUAUUGGUCAAUGGGCGCGAGCCUGAACCAGCCAAGUAGCGUGAAGGAUGACUGCCCUACGGGUUGUAAACUUCUUUUAUAAAGGAAUACAGUGAGGCACGUGUGCCUUUUUGUAUGUACUUUAUGAAUACGGAUCGGCUAACUCCGUGCCAGCAGCCGCGGUAAUACGGAGGAUCCGAGCGUUAUCCGGAUUUAUUGGGUUUAAAGGGAGCGUAGAUGGGUUGUUAAGUCAGUUGUGAAAGUUUGCGGCUCAACCGUAAAAUUGCAAUUGAUACUGGCAGUCUUGAGUACAGUUGAGGUAGGCGGAAUUCGUGGUGUAGCGGUGAAAUGCGUAGAUAUCACGAAGAACUCCGAUUGCGAAGGCAGCUUACUAAACUGCCACUGACAUUGAUGCUCGAAAGUGUGGGUAUCAAACAGGAUUAGAUACCCGAGUAGUC
RNAcentral lists this ribosomal RNA (460 nucleotides) under uncultured bacterium. RNAcentral's name for it is "partial 16S ribosomal RNA". It matches the Rfam family "Bacterial small subunit ribosomal RNA", at positions 338 to 795 of the family's 1533-position model. The record is from RNAcentral.